AACGAACGCUGGCGGCAUGCCUAACACAUGCAAGUCGAACGAGACCUUCGGGUCUAGUGGCGCACGGGUGCGUAACGCGUGGGAACCUGCCCUUAGGUUCGGAAUAACUCCCCGAAAGGGGUGCUAAUACCGGAUAAUGUCUUCGGACCAAAGAUUUAUCGCCUUUGGAUGGGCCCGCGUUGGAUUAGCUAGUUGGUAGGGUAAAAGCCUACCAAGGCGACGAUCCAUAGCUGGUCUGAGAGGAUGAUCAGCCACACUGGGACUGAGACACGGCCCAGACUCCUACGCGAGGCAGCAGUGGGGAAUAUUGGAAAAUGGGGGGAGGCAUGAAGGAGCAAUGACGCGUGAGUGAUGAAGGCCGUAGGGUAGUAAAGUUCAUUUACCCGGGAUGAUAAUGACGGUACCGGGAGAAUAAGCUCCGGCUAACUACGUG
This 433-nucleotide ribosomal RNA is filed under the name uncultured bacterium. RNAcentral's name for it is "partial 16S ribosomal RNA". It matches the Rfam family "Bacterial small subunit ribosomal RNA", at positions 29 to 507 of the family's 1533-position model. The record is from RNAcentral.